Molecule: long non-coding RNA, 468 nt
Organism: Dromaius novaehollandiae (emu)
Lineage: Eukaryota; Metazoa; Chordata; Aves; Casuariiformes; Dromaiidae
Exons: 2
Source: RefSeq, a predicted model, not a curated record
AACUGGCAGCAUGAGAGAAGGAUUUCCUGGAUGUCAUCUCCAUUCAAAUGCUGAUAAAGUGCAGCCAAAGCAGCUUAGACAAACAGCAGAUUUAAAGCUUUGCUGGAGAAGGAAAGAACUAGACAAGAAACUACAGCCUCAAUGGAAUGGAGAAGUAGAACUGGAGAACUAUCAGCACUCAUGCUUUGUUCUUGGGACAAAGCAAGAGAAAAAAUACCCAUAACAUUCCUACAGCUCCUACAGAGCAUGUCCUGCAUGAACCUGAGGCUCCAGUCACCUCCUUGGCAAAACUGAACCAUGGGUACUGCCCACCAGGACUCUCAGAACAACGAAUCCACGUGCUCUCUAAUCUUAACUUGAUUCGGUGGCAUCGCUCUCUUUCACCCUGAUGUCUUUGGUGUAAUUCUGCGAUGUGGACCUGUAACACCCCCAAAAGAACUGGAAUACAGGGUUUAGAUAUUUUGAGGC